This 61-nucleotide transfer RNA is filed under the name Tettigometridae sp. RNAcentral describes it as "tRNA-His". The record is from RNAcentral. Lineage: Eukaryota; Metazoa; Arthropoda; Insecta; Hemiptera; Tettigometridae.
GUUCAUUUAGUUUAAUAAAAAUUUCGGUUUGUGGAGCUGAGGAUCUCAAUGAGGGUGAGCU